This is a long non-coding RNA of Erpetoichthys calabaricus (reedfish), 405 nucleotides long. RefSeq lists it as uncharacterized. The record is from RefSeq and is a predicted model, not a curated record. NCBI's taxonomy places the organism in Eukaryota, Metazoa, Chordata, Cladistia, Polypteriformes, Polypteridae. The transcript is spliced from 2 exons.
AUAUGUUUUCUUCAAAGAGUUCACAGUUAACAAAGGGUGUGGUUGGUGUGUUGCUGGUGUUUCUGCUGCUCGAGUUGUGUGUGUCCAUUUCAAGUGCAGCCUUUUCUUGCAAAGUUCUCUGCUGCAGUGAUACGCCCAUGACUGCUGGUCAACAGUGUGGAUUACAGUUAACACAACACGGAGUUGCCUCAGCAAGUGCCCCAAAUUACCCCACUACACCCCAGCAGAUAUCUUACAAUAUUCCUCCUCCUCCUUAUCUUCCAACUUUCUUAUGAAUGCUUUCACCAAAAAUUGCCUCCUUAAACUAUGUAAUACAGUGGUAACAUUCUGAAUAAAAAUUCUAAUAUUAAAUGUGCAACAAUGUGCCACACUGUCACCCUUGGAAUAAAAUAUGUUUGGCUUUGA